CAACAAAUUAAAACAACCCAAUUAUCUCAGUGUGGAGCUGGUGUUCAAUGAUUACACACAGCAUUUCCCUAGUUUUAUAUGCAUUUUCUUCUUCAUACAGGGUAAAACAAGGGACCUCAGAAACACUU
This is a small nucleolar RNA of Sarcophilus harrisii (Tasmanian devil), 128 nucleotides long. Its record names the gene SNORA70. It matches the Rfam family "Small nucleolar RNA SNORA70". From Rfam's summary of the family: snoRNA U70 seems to be exclusive to mammals and is a member of the H/ACA class of snoRNA which contain H (ANANNA) and ACA box motifs. The record is from Ensembl. NCBI's taxonomy places the organism in Eukaryota, Metazoa, Chordata, Mammalia, Dasyuromorphia, Dasyuridae.